UUCUCGUCGCCGCGUGUAGUUCGCGUAAUUGCGAGCGUUCCAGCAAGUCUAAAGCGUUUUAGAGGCUUUGUAUUGUUGUUCUCACCUGGUGCUGUCGUUCUUGCAACCCGUCUGAUAUUGCAACUGUCUGUAAGUGGAAGCGUUUCUUCUAACCGCGAGCAGACCAGUCGGUCUCGUUUGACAUGUCAAAGAGUGAAGACGCUGCCUUGCAUGUGAAGCCAAAUCGUUCUUCGCCUUCAGGAUUCUUGCCGUUUCAGGGAUCUGCACAACGACAGGGAGAUAGAACGCCAAGUGAAGUCGACUGUACUUUGUGCAGACGGUUCAGCGUGUAUGACGCAGCGGCCUCCAGCAAGAGAAACUCAAGCACCGUGUUCAAAUGCGGUGGGGACUCUUGCUCGCCAUGACAACGCUUAGAAGUGCUCUUUCGGAAGGACAAGUUGGACCGGAAAUGAGGACCUAGGUGUGCUCUUUUGCGCUGUUGUUCACCGUUCGAUCAUUACCAGUUUUUGUGCCCCCGUGAGUUCAACGCUCAGGUAUGUUGAUGAUAAAUGGAUAUGCGUUAAAAGGUACGUACUCCGGAGUGGUGAAUUGUUCAGGCGAAGUGAUUUGUUGCUGCUAUCUCCUGUUUCGUGAGGGUUCUUGUCGGUACUCAUAUACCGCAGGCAUGAGGGGCUUUCUUUGCAGAACAUUUCAGUAAACCAAGACUGCAGCAUUUUCAAGAUUGCCAUAACCAGCAUCAAUGCAGCUCUCAUGUCAACAUCAGCAUCAAGGCAGCUCUGAUGUUAACAUCAUCAUCAGAGCAGCUGUGAUGUUAACAUCAGAUCUGAUGUGAUUUGGGACACUGUCUUGAUGCUAACAUCAGCUGGUGUUAACAUUAGCAUCAGAGCAGCUCUGAUGUUAGCAUCAAGACAGUAGGGACAAUAGGGAUGCUUCUCCUUGACCAUGUUUUUUUUUUUUUUGCUUAUUGACGUUUUUGUGAAGGAACGCUGAAUAUGCGCACACCAUUGACUGUCAGCUCUAGUCCCGGUCAGCUGUCAUUUUUUACAGUUUUCGUUGUAGUAAUUGCUAGUCAUUUGCACCAAAGGCGCUGGAUGUGAACUAUUUUCUCUUUCCUGGACUUGCGUUUCUCCCAGUCGUUGGCUUUGUCAUUUUUUCAUAAUUUAAAUUUUCUCUUGGUAACUCUUGAGUUUCGUAAUCCCUACGCUGUGCAUUUUACCAUUUUUGAUAAAGCUCAUUCCACAUACCGUGCACAGACUAUUUUGUGCUGACGUGCAGCAAUUGUUCCGUUACGUCUAACGUUACAUGCCAUUCAUUUUUGUGUCUGGGCAGUACUGAAGCGUGAGCAGAUAGGCAGACUGCCUAUUACUGCAUAACUUCGUUUUCUUUGAGACACCACCACUUGUGCAGGCAGACCGCCUCUUGCUGUAUACUUUUUCUUUCUUUUAGACAGCGUUUUCUUAGAAACCGUUGACGUGCGAGUGGUUACGCAGGCAGGCUGCAUAUUACUGUAUACCAUUUCCCCCCAUGCAGCAAUUUUACCGUUACGUCUAAUAUUAAUGCUACAAGCCGUUCAUUUCUUCCAGGGCCAUUACCGAAGUGCAAGUGGUUAGGCAGACUGCCUACUACUGGAUACCUUUUUUUGUUUCCUUUCAGAGACCACCUCUUACUGUGUACGUCCCCCCCCCCCCCCCCCUUUGAGACACCAUUGAAGGGCCAGUGGUUACGCAGGCAGGCUGGAUAUUACGACACAAUUGGCAUGCAUUGGGUGAUGCAGGCAGACUGCUUAGUGUGCACCACUCGUCGUUUAGUCUAUUGAGGUGCUACAAGUGUUGUGUCAGUCUAUUUCCUCUCCGAAAAUAAAAUGUUGGGCUCUACA
Long non-coding RNA from Ornithodoros turicata, 1876 nucleotides. RefSeq lists it as uncharacterized. Lineage: Eukaryota; Metazoa; Arthropoda; Arachnida; Ixodida; Argasidae. The record is from RefSeq and is a predicted model, not a curated record. The transcript is spliced from 4 exons.